This is a long non-coding RNA of Neogale vison (American mink), 653 nucleotides long. RefSeq lists it as uncharacterized. The record is from RefSeq and is a predicted model, not a curated record. NCBI's taxonomy places the organism in Eukaryota, Metazoa, Chordata, Mammalia, Carnivora, Mustelidae. The transcript is spliced from 3 exons.
GGAGGUCCCGAACCGUCUGCAUCCACGGCCCCGGUGAGUUCAGCUCUGAUUGUGGACGAGUCUCCAGGCUCCUUGCCGCAGGGGUGGCUCUGUGUACCCCACGCAGUGACCUUUCCUGUCGCAUGCCCAUGCAGGGUCUCGGGGCCAGGACGUCGCCACACCUUCGUGCUCUCUCUCAUCUGGUCCUCCGAUUUCCUGAGGUCACGAAGUGGUUCAAGGAGCGAACAGGACAAUGGCAGCUAAAUAUAACAGUGUCAGGGUGAAGAGCCCGGCUCUGGAAACUUGCCACCGGCCAAACAUUCUCUCUUCUAGCACAUUCCAGCUGCGUGACUUUGGGGAGCACGAUGGGAAGAGCUUAUGCCUGAGCCCCUCCCUCAUGGGCCACUCUUCCAGCAGAAAUGGAACAUCAGCUCUGCUCAGGCCUCGAACCCGGGCUGAUGUCAGCAGCACCACCUCUCAUGGUGGAGCGGGCGGCCGCAGACCCCUCUCCCAGCUCGCAGAGCCUCUGGGAUCCCCAGCCUCACCCGCCUCAAGCCUUUGCAGGAGCUGCGCCCUCUUGCUCGAACACCCCUUCUCCUGACUGCCAGGGACUGUCACCUUCUCUGCAUCCAGGUCUCCACUUGGAGGUCACCUCCCCUCACCGAGAGAGGCCU